GAUAAUUUGCGGUAGUUAGCUCCGCUUGAAUGUAGGAAAUUUCAUGAGUUCCAACGAACACAUGAAACAUGAACCAUGUUUCAUAGUGGAUACCUGUUUCUACAAUUGAGAAUUAAACAUAUAUAACAUAAGGGGUAUUAGGCAUUGCAAGGCAGCAUCACAUGAAAUAAAUGGAAAGGAGAUUAAAAUGAAUUAACGGCAACCGAAAUGAUCACGCUUUCUGGGUACUGACGAACUGAUAUCCGAUAAAAUUCGUCAUCACUGUUACAUGACAUUAACAAAUAUGUCAAUUUUUAUACGAAAAAGGAGAAAAAUCCACAGAAAAGUACGGGAAUGUAGAAGACAUUAUACAUGAUUCGUGUCGCGCAACAUCAAUACGAUAUCAUCGACAUGUUCA
Molecule: unclassified non-coding RNA, 397 nt
Filed under: Athalia rosae (coleseed sawfly)
Lineage: Eukaryota; Metazoa; Arthropoda; Insecta; Hymenoptera; Athaliidae
Description: misc RNA ENSAEAG00005007545.1
Source: RNAcentral